AGUGAACGCUGGCGGUAGGCCUAACACAUGCAAGUCGAACGGCAGCACAGUAAGAGUUUGCUCUUACGGGUGGCGAGUGGCGGACGGGUGAGGAAUACAUCGGACUCUACUUUUUCGUGGGGGAUCACGUAGGGAAACUUACGCUAAUACCGUAUACGACCUACGGGUGAAAGCAGGGGAUCUUCGGACCUUGCGCGAUUGAAUGAGCCGAUGUCGGAUUAGCUAGUUGGCGGGGUAAGGGCCCACCAAGGCGACGAUCCGUAGCUGGUCUGAGAGGAUGAUCAGCCACACUGGAACUGAGACACGGUCCAGACUCCUACGGGAGGCAGCAGUGGGGAAUAUUGGACAAUGGGCGCAAGCCUGAUGCAGCCAUACCGCGUGUGUGAAGAAGGCCUUCGGGUUGUAAAGCCCUUUUGGUGGGAAAGAAAAGCAGCAGGUUAAUACCCCGCUUCACUGACGUUACCCAAAGAAUAAGCACCGGCUAACUUCGUG
RNAcentral lists this ribosomal RNA (492 nucleotides) under uncultured bacterium. RNAcentral describes it as "partial 16S ribosomal RNA". It matches the Rfam family "Bacterial small subunit ribosomal RNA", at positions 29 to 507 of the family's 1533-position model. The record is from RNAcentral.